RNAcentral lists this long non-coding RNA (887 nucleotides) under Homo sapiens (human). Its description in RNAcentral is "HSALNT0295826". The record is from RNAcentral. Lineage: Eukaryota; Metazoa; Chordata; Mammalia; Primates; Hominidae.
GGGAGACCUCAGAACAGGAUAUUUCCUUUUUUGAGAUUCCCUGUCAUACCAGUUAUGGAUAAAUUUGCAUUUUGGAUGGGACAUUACUGGACCAGCCCAUUUUAGGCAGUUCCGUUUCCCCCUGGGUGGGGCAGCAGGCCCUGUGAAGAGGUUCUCAGCCUCAUGACUCCUAAACUCCUGGUACUUGAGCACCGAUCUGCUUUGGAGAACCUGGAGUCCCUUCCUGUGAACCCUGUUAUAUAAUUUCUUUCAGAUUCUGAGACUCCAGCAGGAUGUCUUAUCAACAGUAGCAAUGUAAGCAGCCCUGCCAGCCACCUCCUGUGUGCCGCCUGCCAAAGCGUCCAGAGCCAUGUCCACCCCUGAAGUGCCCUGAGCCCUGCCCACCACCAAAGUGUCCACAGCCCUGCCCACCUCAGCAGUGCCAGCAGAAAUAUCCUCUGGUGACACCUUCCCCACCCUGCCAGCCAAAGUGUCCACCCAAGAGCAAGUAACAGCUUCGGAAUUCAUCAGGACCACGAAAGGAUAGGGAUAAUUGGCUCACCUCGUUCCACAGCUCCACCUGCAUCUUCUCAUCAAAGCCAUCCAGGGAUACACAGGGAGCUUCUUUCCCCUUAGCCUGUGAUCUGCCCAUGAUGAUCCCCGACAGCAAAAUGUUUCCUUUCUGAGGCUGCCAUGCUGCCACUGUCCAGGUGGAGACUGAGCAAAGGAAGUCCUGGGCUGUGCCAGCUCCCAGAGCUUCAGAAGAAAGAGCAGCUCUCUCCCUGGGAACCAUUAGAGAAUUCUGUUGAUGUUUUCUGUGUCUGUCUGUCCCCUGGGCAUGAGCUUCCACCACCUGUGCAGUUGUCACUUUCCUUUCACUCCCUGAAUAAAGAAUCUAUGCAUAUAUA